GAUCACUACUUUGACAUGUAGCGCUACUAAACAUGGGCCAUGGCUCCUCAAAAAGAGCAAAAGUACCGACGUAUCUAAUUAUAACACGUAUCGGUAAGUGUCUUAUGAACGCGUCCUAGGGAGACAAAAUGUUAGGUUAUGAUAUUGCGGUGAGGCAAAGCACCGCCAAAUUUGUGGAUGCCAAUUAUUAGCAAGUGCUUCCAUCCACGGUAAUUCACCGCGCUUCCACCAUUCUUCGUUCAGGAUUUAUUCAAAGGUUCAGGAAUCCACCACCAGCUUAAGUGUGUGUCAACGGUAGGUACGGUUCAGUCAUGGAGAGGAGCUACAAAGGGAUCCCUUUUCAAAGACACAUGCUCCGGUG
Molecule: long non-coding RNA, 361 nt
Organism: Photinus pyralis (common eastern firefly)
Lineage: Eukaryota; Metazoa; Arthropoda; Insecta; Coleoptera; Lampyridae
Exons: 3
Source: RefSeq, a predicted model, not a curated record